UCAAGAAACUUCCACAAUGGGCGAAAGCCUGACCCAGCAACGCCGCGUGAAGGAUGAAGUAUUUCGGUAUGUAAACUUCGUAAGAAUAGGAAGAAUAAAUGACGGUACUAUUUGUAAGGUCCGGCUAACUACGUGCCAGCAGCCGCGGUAAUACGUAGGGACCAAGCGUUGUUCGGAUUUACUGGGCGUAAAGGGCGCGUAGGCGGUGUGUCAAGUCAGUUGUGAAAUCUCCGAGCUUAACUCGGAACGGUCAACUGAUACUGUCACACUAGAGUACAGAAGGGGCAAUCGGAAUUCUUGGUGUAGCGGUGAAAUGCGUAGAUAUCAAGAGGAACACCUGAGGCGAAGGCGGGUUGCUGGGCUGAUACUGACGCUGAGGCGCGAAAGCCAGGGGAGCAAACGGGAUUAGAUACCCAUGUAGUCCCUGAGCGGGCUGGCAAGGCGCAU
RNAcentral lists this ribosomal RNA (447 nucleotides) under uncultured bacterium. Its description in RNAcentral is "bacterial SSU rRNA". It matches the Rfam family "Bacterial small subunit ribosomal RNA", at positions 355 to 825 of the family's 1533-position model. The record is from RNAcentral.